CCUACGGGUGGCAGCAGUGAGGAAUAUUGGUCAAUGGGCGCUAGCCUGAACCAGCCAAGUAGCGUGAAGGAUGACUGCCCUAUGGGUUGUAAACUUCUUUUAUAAAGGAAUAAAACGAGGCACGUGUGCCUUUUUGCAUGUACUUUAUGAAUAAGGAUCGGCUAACUCCGUGCCAGCAGCCGCGGUAAUACGGAGGAUCCGAGCGUUAUCCGGAUUUAUUGGGUUUAAAGGGAGCGUAGAUGGGUUGUUAAGUCAGUUGUGAAAGUUUGCGGCUCAACCGUAAAAUUGCAAUUGAUACUGGAAGUCUUGAGUACAGUUGAGUAAGGGGGAAUUCGUGGUGUAGCGGUGAAAUGCUUAGAUAUCACGAAGAACCCCGAUUGCGAAGGCAGCUUACUAAACUGUGACUGACAUUGAUGCUCGAAAGUGUGGGUAUCAAACAGGAUUGGAUACCCCAGUAGAC
RNAcentral lists this ribosomal RNA (460 nucleotides) under uncultured bacterium. RNAcentral's name for it is "partial 16S ribosomal RNA". It matches the Rfam family "Bacterial small subunit ribosomal RNA", at positions 338 to 795 of the family's 1533-position model. The record is from RNAcentral.